RNAcentral lists this ribosomal RNA (157 nucleotides) under Staphylotrichum boninense. RNAcentral describes it as "partial large subunit ribosomal RNA". It matches the Rfam family "Eukaryotic large subunit ribosomal RNA", at positions 99 to 261 of the family's 3401-position model. The record is from RNAcentral. Lineage: Eukaryota; Fungi; Ascomycota; Sordariomycetes; Sordariales; Chaetomiaceae.
CGGCAACAGCUCAAAUUUGAAAUCUGGCUUCGGCCCGAGUUGUAAUUUGCAGAGGAAGCUUUGGGCGCGGCACCGACCGAGUCCCCUGGAACGGGGCGCCAUAGAGGGUGAGAGCCCCGUAUGGUCGGACGCCUAGCCUGUGUAAAGCUCCUUCGAC